Molecule: ribosomal RNA, 460 nt
Filed under: uncultured bacterium
Lineage: Bacteria
Description: partial 16S ribosomal RNA
Rfam family: Bacterial small subunit ribosomal RNA
Source: RNAcentral
CCUACGGGAGGCUGCAGUGAGGAAUAUUGGUCAAUGGACGAGAGUCUGAACCAGCCAAGUAGCGUGAAGGAUGACUGCCCUAUGGGUUGUAAACUUCUUUUAUAUGGGAAUAAAACAAGGCAUGUAUACCUUCUUGUAUGUACCUUAUGAAUAAGGAUCGGCUAACUCCGUGCCAGCAGCCGCGGUAAUACGGAGGAUCCGAGCGUUAUCCGGAUUUAUUGGGUUUAAAGGGAGCGUAGAUGGGUUGUUAAGUCAGUUGUGAAAGUUUGCGGCUCAACCGUAAAAUUGCAGUUGAAACUGGCAGUCUUGAGUACAGUAGAGGUAGGCGGAAUUCGUGGUGUAGCGGUGAAAUGCUUAGAUAUCACGAAGAACCCCGAUUGCGAAGGCAGCUCACUGGACUGUAACUGACAUUGAUGCUCGAAAGUGUGGGUAUCAAACAGGAUUAGAUACCCGAGUAGUC